RNAcentral lists this ribosomal RNA (21 nucleotides) under Collybiopsis trogioides. RNAcentral describes it as "Gymnopus trogioides partial 18S ribosomal RNA". RNAcentral also lists the same sequence under 1 other name. Lineage: Eukaryota; Fungi; Basidiomycota; Agaricomycetes; Agaricales; Omphalotaceae. The record is from RNAcentral.
AACCUGCGGGAAGGAUCAUUA